RNAcentral lists this unclassified non-coding RNA (38 nucleotides) under synthetic construct. The record is from RNAcentral.
GGAUCCCGACUGGCGAGAGCCAGGUAACGAAUGGAUCC